AUUGAACGCUGGCGGCAUGCUUUACACAUGCAAGUCGAACGGCAGCGCGGGCUUCGGCCUGGCGGCGAGUGGCGAACGGGUGAGUAAUGCAUCGGAACGUGCCCAGUAGUGGGGGAUAGCCCGACGAAAGCCGGAUUAAUACCGCAUACGACCUGAGGGUGAAAGCGGGGGUCCGAAAGGCCUCGCGCUAUUGGAGCGGCCGAUGUCGGGUUAGCUAGUUGGUAGGGUAAAGGCUUACCAAGGCGACGAUCCGUAGCUGGUCUGAGAGGACGACCAGCCACACUGGGACUGAGACACGGCCCAGACUCCUACGGGAGGCAGCAGUGGGGAAUUUUGGACAAUGGGGGCAAGCCUGACCCAGCCAUGCCGCGUGCGAGAAGAAGGCCUUCGGGUUGUAAACCGCUUUUGUUCGGGAAGAAAUCCUCUGGGCUAAUACCCCGGGGGGAUGACGGUACCGGAAGAAUAAGCACCGGCUAACUACGUG
This 484-nucleotide ribosomal RNA is filed under the name uncultured bacterium. Its description in RNAcentral is "partial 16S ribosomal RNA". It matches the Rfam family "Bacterial small subunit ribosomal RNA", at positions 29 to 507 of the family's 1533-position model. The record is from RNAcentral.